Molecule: ribosomal RNA, 402 nt
Filed under: uncultured Pedomicrobium sp.
Lineage: Bacteria; Pseudomonadati; Pseudomonadota; Alphaproteobacteria; Hyphomicrobiales; Hyphomicrobiaceae
Also listed under: 1 other name
Description: bacterial SSU rRNA
Rfam family: Bacterial small subunit ribosomal RNA
Source: RNAcentral
UAGGGAAUAUUGGACAAUGGGCGCAAGCCUGAUCCAGCCAUGCCGCGUGAGUGACGAAGGCCUUCGGGUUGUAAAGCUCUUUUGGCGGGGACGAUAAUGACGGUACCCGCAGAAUAAGCUCCGGCUAACUUCGUGCCAGCAGCCGCGGUAAUACGAAGGGAGCUAGCGUUGUUCGGAAUCACUGGGCGUAAAGCGCACGUAGGCGGAUGUGCCAGUCAGGGGUGAAAUCCCGGAGCUCAACUCCGGAACUGCCUCUGAUACAGCACGUCUUGAGUCCGGAAGAGGUGGGUGGAAUUCCUAGUGUAGAGGUGAAAUUCGUAGAUAUUAGGAAGAACACCGGUGGCGAAGGCGGCCCACUGGUCCGGUACUGACGCUGAGGUGCGAAAGCGUGGGGAGCAAACA